This is a long non-coding RNA of Eutrema salsugineum, 4295 nucleotides long. RefSeq lists it as uncharacterized. The record is from RefSeq and is a predicted model, not a curated record. NCBI's taxonomy places the organism in Eukaryota, Viridiplantae, Streptophyta, Magnoliopsida, Brassicales, Brassicaceae. The transcript has 2 exons.
UAAAUUUUACUUGAUUAUAUAAAAUAAUUUUAAAACCCUUUUUACCAAAAUUGUAAAACGAAAAAUUGAUUUGUUUUUGAAAAAUUAAAUUUUGUGGUGAAAUAAAGUCAUGAAACGGUACAUAUUAUAAUUGAUGUUUUUUAAGAUUACAUUUUAAUCCAAUGCAAAACGGGUUAGUAUGGUAUUUAAGGAUUUUCGGUCCUCGAGUAGGGGUUAGUCUCUUGCAAAACAGAAAAAAAUGUGUGUUUUCCGAAGGUUCUCCAAAGCUCAAGUCAGAAAACAGCUCAAAAAGACCACUAAGCGGCUAAUCGGAAAGCAGAAAGAAGUCAGAAAACAAAUGGAGGAAAGCGGGCCGAGAGUUCUUGAGAAUGGUAGAAUCUGCUCAUGCCUUUUAACGAGAGUGGACUUUUUUGGUGAAAAGAAAGGAAAAAAAGAAUUCGAAGGUAGAAAUGCUCCACGUUUUAGGAAUCACCAUGGAGGAGAAGUGAAAUGAAAUGACCGGAAAGUUGGCCGGGAAAGUGUAGAACGUCUGGACUUAAGAACCAACAAUAUCUGGAAAAAUAUCGUGAGACUUAAGAUGACUGAGAAAGUGAACCCCUUCGCGGGUUAGCAAAGCUAACCCGUGAUGUAGAAGUUAUUUUUGCCGGAAACAAACGUUUACCCCUCUCAUUAGCCGUACGUGGCAGGGCAUCCGCCUGAAGCGCAUAACGUUUUUUGAUGAAAGACGUGUUGCCUGAGUCACCCUUUGACCUGAGGCGCGUGAAGCAUUUUUGAUGAAAGACGCGAUGCCUGAGUCAUCCGCCGUGGGCAGCAUGGCCUGGGUCCGUGAGCCCAAACGAAGGACGUGUUGUCUGAGUGAGACACCGUGGGUGAUAUGACCUGGAACCGUGGGUCACAAAGGAUGCGAUGCCUGAGUCACCUGCUAUGGGCGAAGUGACGUGGAGACGUGGGCUCGUAACAUGAAGACACAGUUCCUACAGGGGAUGUCGCCCGGCUAGCCCAGUUACCCUUCAGUCGAUCCCUUAGAGAUAUCCAGUUAUCUAAAAGAGAUUCGUCCACCACGAAAGUAUAUUGAACUGACAGGCCAAUCGGCAAAGGGAGCCAGACCUACGCUGUGGGAUGCGAACCCGACAAGGUUCCAAAUGGACAAUCAUACAGUUCGCAGAGCGGCAUGCCUCCGGGUGGCACGAUUAAAGGGUGUCAUUCCUAGGACACGGCAUCAAUGGACAGGCUAACCCUCCACUAUGCUGGCCUUGUCGGGGUAAACACCCGAAUAACAUAACCAAGAUUCUUCAGGAAAAUCAGAGAGGCACAUUUGGUGGCGAGAUAACCGCGUGGGAGAAUUCCUUCUUUUAUUUCUGUGAUUCAUUCUCCUCCAUUAUUUUUCUUCCUAUUUAUGUUUAUUUCCUUUCUCUAGACAGAUGUUACUUCUUGCAUUCAACCUUCUGUGCGUGAUAGGGCACCCACUGGUUGUCGCUUCACUAUCCAUUCUACGUCUUUUUUCUGCAUCGCAACCGUCCAUAUUCGUUCGUUGCUUCGACAUGUGUACUUCGACCUUAUAAAGUUAUCAUCAAACUCCUUGGGGAACUCUCUCUCUUUGCUGUUUUACCUUUCUUCCUAAGGGGAUCCUUGACUCUCUUAAGCCCACCUUCUCUCUUGGGUGUCCACGUGGCCUCUUACAGUUGGCUGUCUUUUUAACUUUCACUACGACGGUUAUCCAUAUAAGCGGCGUAUUCCUCUAUUUCCUAUUUAUCCUAUUCUAACAUCUUCGCAUUCGCCUCCUCUUCUCUCUCAUGUUUCUCCGUUUCUCCAUCCUUUUUUUAGCUAACAUGUCUUCUCCCAAUGAUUCUUGUAACGGCGGCCCCUCCCUCUAAUCACAGUAUUUCGAGAUGUUUAUUAUGCAUGUCGGGCCAGAGCUUGCCCCUGGACCUGAGUCUACCCCUGCAGACCCGCCGAGGGGGUAUAUAACCGUUUUCUUGCCUUUCACCACUGUUGGUUUCCGGCAGAACCUGUUCUUGGCUUAUGGUCGAUGUCUGCCAACUGUUAGCCCUCGCCUCCAGUCAACUAGAGUUGCAGACGUGGGGUUUAAUCCACACCUUACAAGUCCUCUACGAUCUCUUCGAGAUAGCCAUUACCGGAGAAAUGGUACUGAAUGCCAUUCGUGCCUCUCGCUGGGGCUACGACUCCUGCCGGUUUGACCUGGUUUCUCAAGAAUGCCGUCAUUCUCCAAUCGAACCCCCCAAUUUGCAGGAGUCGUUCGGUCUGACUGGACUCCUUCUGGUGAGCAUUUUCGAUCUUCACCCCCCCCAUUUCAAUAUUGUUUACUAUUUUCUUACCUUUUUUUAUUGUUCCGCCUUCUCUAGGUUCUUUUCCCGAAACACGCGAUCUCGUCGCCCCGUACCCUGAGGCUCUCUUCGAUUUAGACGAGGAGUUAAAGGGAUUCGGCUUUUCUGCUAAACCCCGUGUGGUGGAUGACACUUUGAUCAACUCCUGCCUCGAGUCUCCUUUUGUUCCUCUUGAGUCAUUGGAUGCCUUGUUGGCGGCUUGCGUUAAGUACAAUGGUCUCCACGUCGCUCUCCUUGACCUUUUCAUCUAUUUUACGUUCUCGUUGUCGUUGUCUCCUUUUGUGGAACUUUUGUAUUUGCUAUCUAGAACUUUUCUUUACGCUUAUCUAUUUAGAUCAGCACGUUCCUACUGCCCCUUUCUCCUUUCCUUUUCGUAUAGAUAUAUUUUUUUAUUUGUCGUAUCGAUUUGGAUCCUUGAGCAUAACCGGAUUUUCGUCGAACUGAUUUGCCGCAAUCUCAGAUCCCUUCUUUUUAUGUGCGGUUUCCGUUCCGAGAGGGGGGGGGGAUUCUUCGGAUCGCCAGAUGUUUCGGUCUUGUUUGUUUUUCUCUUUGAGCUCGUCGCCUGUUGCUAGUAUUGGGUCAUCGCGUGGAUCCCGCUUUUCUUUCAUCUCUGGGUCAUUUCCCCCAAUUCUGGGUCUUAUGGUGGUUUUCUGACUUAGGAAAGGGAAGUUUGUUUUGCUUCGAGAGUGUUGCCCCCCUCUCUCUAGCGCCAAACGGUUUAGGAGAUUUUUGGUCUUUGAGUAGGGGCAAGUCUCCUGCGAAACAGAAAAAACAUGAAGACCUGGAAAACACGAUGAGGGUGUGUCUUCUGAAGGCUCUCCGAUGCUCAAGUCAGAAAACAGCUAAAAAAAUCACUAAGCGGCUAAUCGGAAAGCAGAAAGAAGUCAGAAAACAAAUGAAGGAAAGUAGGUCGAGAAUCCUUGACAAUGGUCGGAUCCACUCAGGUCUUUUAAUGAGAGUGGGAUUUUUUGGUGGAAAGAGAGGAAAAGAAGAAUUUUAAGGUAGAAAUGCUCCACGGUUUAGGAACCGCCAUAGAAAAGAAAUGAAAUGAAAUGAACGAAAAAUUGGUCGGGAAAGUGUAGAACACCUGGACUUAAGAACCACAAGUAUCUAGAAAGAUAUUGUGAGGUUUAAGAUGUCUGAGAAAGUGAACCCCUUUCCUGUAGGAAAAGGUAAAGUAUUUAUAAGAAGUUACUUGACCUGGGUUAAUAUACCGGGUCGAUCCAUGGAUGACGAAUUGGAUGGAUCGACCCAUGACCCGACUUGACUAUGUUCGAAUCUUGUGAUGGCGUCACGCUUCUCAUGACCUCACCAACUUUCUUUGGCAUGUUCUGCCUGCAACUUGACCGUCCGUUGGCAGGUUCCUUUUGUUCUCAGUGUAUGAGUUGGGUCGGCGGCUCAGACACAAUAUGGCUCUUUGCUGAACCUUUGCUUUUCCUCCUAGCUCUUGCGAAAACUCACUAACACCUGAAAAACGCAUUAAAUACCAAUCUCGUCGGUUUAUAAGGGUAUGGGUAAUCAAAUCAAACUGAAACAUAUUCUCUUUGUUGAAUAGAGAGAAUUUUGUAUAGCGUUCCUGCCCAAGUUGUUCAUUCAUACUUGGCCUGGAUCCCUCGAUACUGGGACCAUAUUGGGACCGGGCUACCGCAGAUGGAUGACCUCGCCCUCCGGAUACCUGUGUGGGCGACUCUUCCUUAUAUCCUGACCCUUCCGGAUCACCGAGCUUAGAUCUAGGACAUAGAGAAUGUGACCUUUUCUCCUCUUGACCACUCAGUUUUCGAGUUCCUUGUUCCUGACAGUGUGACAUACGCUGUCAAAUACGAAGAGUCCAGGAACAGGUGGCCUAUCGUGCUGGAUCUCCCGAAUCCGAAUGGAUUCGAGACCCGAUGCUAUAAGCUUAGGCCGCAUUGGACCCGAUGCCCAAUACGUAUCCUCAUUUGGCUCGGACAG